This 253-nucleotide ribosomal RNA is filed under the name uncultured bacterium. RNAcentral describes it as "partial 16S ribosomal RNA". It matches the Rfam family "Bacterial small subunit ribosomal RNA", at positions 524 to 776 of the family's 1533-position model. The record is from RNAcentral.
UACGAAGGGGGCGAGCGUUGUUCGGAUUUACUGGGCGUAAAGGGCGCGCAGGCGGCUAUCCAAGUCAGGCGUGAAAGCCCCGGGCUUAACCUGGGAGGUGCGUCUGGGACUGGGUGGCUAGAGAUCGGGAGAGGAGAGUGGAAUUCCCAGUGUAGAGGUGAAAUUCGUAGAUAUUGGGAAGAACACCGGUGGCGAAGGCGGCUCACUGGCCCGUAACUGACGCUCAUGCACGACAGCGUGGGGAUCAAACAGG